Molecule: long non-coding RNA, 128 nt
Organism: Maniola jurtina (meadow brown)
Lineage: Eukaryota; Metazoa; Arthropoda; Insecta; Lepidoptera; Nymphalidae
Exons: 3
Source: RefSeq, a predicted model, not a curated record
AAAAAAGAAAAGAAUAUUAGCCAUGCUAAUCAUGACUAACUACCUUUCCCCUCCAGCUAAGCGUAAAGCCUGUGCCAGGAGUGGAUACGACAAUAGUGCAACGGGUGGGAUUUGACACAGCGCGGCGG